Molecule: long non-coding RNA, 675 nt
Organism: Nycticebus coucang (slow loris)
Lineage: Eukaryota; Metazoa; Chordata; Mammalia; Primates; Lorisidae
Exons: 5
Source: RefSeq, a predicted model, not a curated record
AGUAUUGUGCUUUGGCACCAGACAGUCACAUUGCCAUACCACUGGCUACUAGCUGGGGGCCCUGGGAUGCAGGAUGUGAGCUGGCCUGCCCUCCUGCUGGCUAUGGAAUGGGUGUCUCCCCUGGUAAAGGAGAAGAGGUAAUACUGCAGGAUACAGACAUUCCUCAGCAAUUUUGAAACAACAGGCUUUAGGAAAAGAGACUCACAAGCCUAGAAGUGACUCAUACCCACCUCUCUGUUAAGACUGCACUCUUCCUCAGUGACUCUAGACAGGUUCUCUUUUGAUAGAGAUAGUCUGUGUGGACCAAACUUAUGGAAAUAUAUUCUCCAAGAUGUGAUGGGACACUAGGAGCUUAUGGCCGGAGGUUGCACACCAGGUCAGCGUUUCUACGGCAAUCGUGUUGAACAGCAGGAUGAGCUCUGGAGCCCUGGGUAGCAGAGAAUGGGGGGUAUGUCCCAAAUGGUUCAUAACUUGAAUAAAACUUCUGUAUGACAUCUCCUUCCAAAGCACGUGGUGGUGGAAAAUCAUGAAAAGUUAAUUUUUUUGUUUUCUACAACAAUGUUAAUAGUUUGCUGAGAAUUUUUCACCUCAUAUCCUACUGACCCAGAUGAAAAUAACCAUAGGGAAAUAAUCGGGCUGUUUGCAGGUUAAAUAAAAUAAAACUGGUAAAAUCAG